GACGAACGCUGGCGGCGUGCUUAACACAUGCAAGUCGAACGGAAAGGCCCUGCUUUUGUGGGGUGCUCGAGUGGCGAACGGGUGAGUAACACGUGAGUAACCUGCCCUUGACUUUGUGAUAACUUCAGGAAACUGGGGCUAAUACCGGAUAGGAGCUCCUGCUGCAUGGUGGGGGUUGGAAAGUUUCGGCGGUUGGGGAUGGACUCGCGGCUUAUCAGCUUGUUGGUGGGGUAGUGGCUUACCAAGGCUUUGACGGGUAGCCGGCCUGGGCGGGUGACCGGCCACAUUGGUACUGAGAUACGGAGCAGACGCCUACGGGAGGCAGCAGUGGGGAAUAUUGCACAAUGGGCGGAAGCCUGAUGCAGCAACGCUGCGUUCGGGAUGACGGCCUUCGGGGGGUAAACCGCUUUCGCCUGUGACGAAGCGUGAGUGACGGUAAUGGGUAAAGAAGCACCGGCUAACUACGUG
RNAcentral lists this ribosomal RNA (468 nucleotides) under uncultured bacterium. RNAcentral's name for it is "partial 16S ribosomal RNA". It matches the Rfam family "Bacterial small subunit ribosomal RNA", at positions 28 to 507 of the family's 1533-position model. The record is from RNAcentral.